RNA transcript from Patella vulgata (common limpet), 3662 nucleotides. It is a transcript of the gene named beta-1,3-galactosyl-O-glycosyl-glycoprotein beta-1,6-N-acetylglucosaminyltransferase 3-like, with no coding region annotated. The record is from RefSeq and is a predicted model, not a curated record. The transcript has 2 exons. NCBI's taxonomy places the organism in Eukaryota, Metazoa, Mollusca, Gastropoda, Patellidae.
CUCGACCCUGAUGCCCAUGAACACAAAUGACGAGUUUAAGACAAACCAAUGGCGGAAUGGAAUUGAUUAAUGGAAUAAAAUAUUUAUUAUGUAUGGACACUAAGUUUUAUGGUUAGACUUUAGCCUAAAAAAACAUGCGCGCUGAUUACAAUUUUGGCAGUCAUAUCUGAAUGGCUCAAAAACUGGUUAUAUUUCUUUAACUUUUGGUAUACUUAAAUUCGGGCUAUUAUUUAAUAUAUAUAUUGAUCAACAGCGGCGAUAAAAAUCAUUAGUCUCGACAAUGACUAGUUGUCAGUGAAAGUCUCUCAGGGGAGCCAGGCGGCUCUGUGAAUAAAGAGCUGGCUUGAACGCCUCGUGUUCAUUAGCCUGAAUAGUGAAGGAAUGCGGGUCAUUAAACCCCAAUUUCAUUUCAUAAAUCUCUCGGCUCAAUAAUGAGCUACUCGGGUUGGUUAGAUCCACGCCUUAAUGCAUAUACAACCAAUAGAGAAAUAGGUCAAAUAUGGCGACAAUGAUCAACUUGCUCUUCUUCUACUAAAUUAAAGAUUCGUGUGGAGAUUCUGUCGAUAUAAUCAUAUAUUUAUAUCUGCUCUUUCUUAAAAUGGAGACGGUCUACAUCUCAAAACCUGAUCUCUUCCUGGACUGGCUUUAGGAGAACGAUGAUGCAUAUCAAUUUCAUCCCUGAUCUCUAUGACACCUGUGGUGGAAGUGGAGGGCAAAUCGUAAUCAGUUUGGGUUCCAGCCCCGAGGACCUCUGUAAACUUUGCUUUUUGGUGAUGACUUAAUUUCCGAGCUUGAAAAUGACGCUUGUGUGUUUAUCAUGGCCUCUCAUAUUGGAAGAUAACAUUAAUGGCUUGUGUGUUGAUCGACGGUUGUGCAUAUCUCUUGGUCAGGAAAGUUGUAGGCACCAUCGCCAUUGUAAAUCAUUUGACAGGCCCGAGUGAACGGGGCGACCUAUGAUUGGUCAGCAAUGUAUCAGAUUCCAUACCGGGGGGUGGGGAUGAAAAAACUGUUGUAGUGUUACAUAAUCAGAUUAUUGUCCCCCGCCUUUCGAAGAAAGCAGGGGACUAUUAAAAUGGGUUCGUCUGUCUGUCUGUCUGUCUGUCUGUCUGUCUGUGUGUCCGUCCGUCCGUCCGUCCGUCCGUCCGUCCGUCUGUCUGUCCGUCACACUUUUUGGGACACAAUAACUCUCUUCCUAAUUGAGCUAGAAUGUUCAAACUUGGUGUAUGUGUUUAUUAGGUCAAUGCCUUGAUGGAGUUCGAAGAUGAGCAUUUUCCGCUUAGGGUAAGCAGAGAUAAGCAAUUUGAUUGGUUGAUGCUUUGGGACACGAUAACUCUCUUCCUAAUUGGGCUAGAAUGUUCAAACUUGGUGUAUGUGUUGAUUAGGUCAAUGCCUUGAUGGAGUUUGAAGAUGAGCAUUUUCCGCUUAGGGUAAGCAGAGAUAAGCAAUUUGAUUGGUUGAUGCUUUGGGACACGAUAACUUUUAAUUGAGCUAGAAUGUUCAAACUUGGUGUAUGUGUUUAUUAGGUCAAUGCCUUGAUGGAGUUCGAAGAUGAGCAUUUUCCGCUUAGGGUAAGCAGAGAAAAGCAAUUUGAUUGGUUGAUACUUUGGGGCACGAUAACUCUCUUCCUAAUUGAGCUAGAAUGUUCAAACUUGGUGUAUGUGUUGAUUAGGUCAAUGCCUUGAUGGAGUUCGAAGAUGAGCAUUUUCCGCUUAGGGUAAGCAGAGAUAAGCAAUUUGAUUGGUUGAUGCUUUGGGACACGAUAACUUUAGUUCUAAUUAAGUGAGAUUGAUGAAACUUGGUGUAUAGUUUCAUUACAGUAAUACCUUGACUAAGUUUGAUAAUGAGCAUUUUCUGCUCAGGGUAAGCAGAGCGAUACGCAAUUUGAUUGGUCGAGACUUUGGAAAACAAUAACUCUCCUACUUUGAUUGUCCCCCGCCUUUCGAAGAAAGCAGGGAACUAUUAAAAUGGGUUCGUCCGUCUGUCUGUUUGUCUGUCUGUCCGUUCCGCUUAUGGUAAGCAGAAAAAACAAAUUGAAAAAGAAACUAUUAUAAAUUAAUUAAAUAUGUAGUAUGCAAUAAGGAAUUGACAUUUAAUGACAGAAAGAAAACAGUGAACUUUGCACAACUUGCAGCAAGAUGGAAAAUAGACCCGUUGAUACAACCAAACUCUAGAUCUGUAGGCAUAGAGCAUGUUUUCCCCUUAAUAUGCUAUAAUUAUUCCAUCAAAAACAUUGUAUGCUUAGACUAUAAGUAAAGAUAUACUGUUUGAUUGUUCAAUACUUUGUAAAAGAUAAUUUGUGAUAAAUUUAUAUGUGUCCUCUAAUUAUUUUCCUAUUUCGGCGGGGGACAUCAGCCUCACUGUUGGCUUGUUUCAACUUACUUAUCCUGUGGAAAUACAGCUAUAUAGGAGAUAUUUUGAAAUUCAUAGGCACUGCAUGUUUCAACAUUUUAGAUUUGACCACAAUCUGGCACUUGAAACUAUGUUAACAGAGAAAAACUGUGUGGUUUUCGAUGAAAGUGUUAAAAGUCUAAUAUUGCAUCAUGAUUACUGUUUUAAAGUAUUUUCGUGUUUGAUUUAUAUUGAAUUCAUCUCAUCUUUUUGAAGAAUGCAUUUAUGUUCAAAAAUAAAAAUGUUCUGUGGAAUUCAAAAUUCAUGUGCUUUUAAAUUAUCAGAUUCCAAACUGGGGGGUAGGGAUGAAAAAGCUGUUGUAGUGUUACAUAAUCAGAUUAUUUCAACUUACUUAUCCUAUGGAAAUACAGCUAUAUAGGAGAUAUUUUAAAAUUGAUAGGCACUGCAUGUUUCAACAUUUUAGAUUUGACCACAAUUUGGCACUUGAAACUACGUUAACAGAGAAAAACUGUGUGGUUUUCGAUGAAAGUGUUAAAAAGUCUAAUAUUGCAUCAUGAUUACUGUUUUAAAGUAUUUUCAUGUUUGAUUUAUAUUGAAUUGUAUUUAGAAAACGGAGGAAACCGAAUGACCCAGCGAAAAAACUCAAGAGUUUGGACAGGCGACUCUACUCCUUGAAAUUGAAACCAUGCCACUUAACACAAUGACAGACCCUGUGAUUUCAUGCGCAUGAAUUACCUACUAGACCAUUCCCCCCAGCCCCACCCCAUAUCGAAUAAAAGUAUGACUUAUUUCAAAUAUGAUAUUUACAUAUAAAGAAAGUAGAGAGACUUCAAUCUUACUAGAAAAAUACUAGAUUACCUGAAAUGAAAUGGGGUUUAAAGACAACGUCCUACUGGUCAGCUCCGACUGGUCUAAUGCAUUGUGCUAAGUGAAAAUGUUUGUCUGGGCAGCGACACUAUGGCCUACUCUCAUACUGAAUUCAAACUGCCAAGAGAACUUUUAUGUGUACGCCAAUGUGUACAUUGGAUCUCAGGGGAAACCACUCUGCAAAAUCAAGAUGAGCUUUCUCGGUCAACCCCAAGAGAUAACCUGUGGCCUCCAUGCUAGUGUGCCAGCACCUAAUUUACUCAGUCACCAUGGCCGUCUUCUAAUGUGACAAACAAGGAUUAUUAAGAUAGACUUUUACGGCUUGGUAGUUCCUUGGGAUUAAAACUUUUGAUACAUAUAGAUACAUUAGUUUCAAUUUCAUAUCACACAGUUUGUAUAUAUGGUAAGGUAGCUUUAAUCGUAAAUUACAUAUCAUGUAUUUAUUU